CAACAACUUCUUAACAAUUAGCCUUAAUAUCCAAUGUGCUUUGAUUUACAACCACAAUUUAAGUGGCAAGACGCCCACAAUCAAUUCAAUUGUCUUGCCACGAUCUGUGGAGCUUAAGACAACGUUAACUAUAGAAUCUUUGGUUAACCUACUCAAGGUUCUGUAUGCUAUUUAAAGCCGACCUAAUGAUGAGUCCCUUCAUGACGGUGUGCUGCAAUGCAUUCUGGGUGUUGUGCUGUGAUUCGACGGCUCGUCACCUGACCCACCAAACAACGAUGCUUGAGAGUAAAAAUAAAUUCGCGCGGGAGCCGUGGAUAGUUAAGCUUAACUUUCUUAACUUUUCCCAUUCAUUCUCUAUGGUAGUUCUUAACACUACGGAUGCAAUAUGCUUUUGUCCACUACGCAUUUUGGCGCUGUUGCGCUGUUGAGCUGCAUUUUAAAAAUAUUGGCAGCCAUCUUUGAAUCAUUUGUUGUGGUCGGCGUUACCGAUGACAGAUAUCGGACUGACUUUUUACUCUCAGAAAGUUGCGUCUGUGUCCCCCUUUAGGUUUGAGCCCUCGUCCUCCCAACUGACCCUGUGGCUCUCCGCUGCAGCAGAACUGGCCCUUGAGUACCGCCAGAAGGGGACCACUACCUAGAAGAUCAAGAGGGUGGACAGGGUGUGCAUGGAGGCAAGGGACACAGUGGCACUGAAAGGAGGCGACCCCAGAGCGUGAAGUGCGCAGGCUGAUGGGUCGGGCGCCGAUACAGCUGUGUGAGCUAAAUCAAAGGGCACUCUCCCAAUGGUCCGUCAGAACACAGAGGGAGACAGAGAGGACUGUGGUGGCACCUUGACCAGGCACUGCAGACGGGCUCAGCAGGGUCGACCCAGAACCCAGUAGCAUCGGCAACGUAUCGUCCAGCAGCAGUGGACCCACAGCCCAGCAGCAGUGGCGGUGUAUCGUCCAACAUUAGCUGACCCAGGGCCCAGCAGCAUCAGCAGUGACAGCAGCGCACCCAGGAUCCAGCAGCAGUGGCGCUGUAUCAGCAGCGGACCCAGAGCCACCAGCAGUGUCAGUGUAUCGCCCAGCAACAGCGGACCCAGGGCCAGCAGUAGUGUCUAACAGGCUUGUGCAAAAUUCCAGAAUGGAAUUGAAACUGGCUCUUAAAUUCCAAUUUAAUUCUUGAAUUUUACUUGCAUUUCAAAUGAGGUAGCAAACAGGAAGCAGAAUUGCAAUUCGAAUUGUGCACAACCCUGGUGUCUAAGUGUAUCGUCCAGAAGCAGCCGACCCACACACACGCACACAGGCACACAGACACACACACACACACACACACACACACACUUUGCCUUCUUCAGCUGGUGUUUAUUUAGUCAUAGUAUGCUGUUCUCCAAUGUUCUGUAAUUUUUUGUAUCACUUAAUAUAAUCCUUAAUAUAGUCUUACCAUGUCAUUGUUUUUUUUAUAGUAGUAUUGUUAUUCUCCUUAUUAUAGUUUGACCAACAUUCUAAUCUGUUCCCUGUUCAAUUUUAAAUAUUAUGUUGUUUAUGUAUGUGUGUGUCACUUUGGACAAAGGCGUCUGCAAAAUCCCAUAACCAUAUCCAUAACUUAAACCUUUAAUUUACCAACUUGUAUUACUUUUUAGAGAUGAUUUUAUCACACACACGCUGUCACGUACACAGGCGCACGCACACCUUCACACGCACACACACACACAGGAUUAGACACACACAUGCACACACACUGCCUCUCACACACACACACACACACACACACACUUUGCCUUCUUCAGCUGGUGUUCAUUUAGUCAUAGUAUGCUGUUCUCCAAUGUUCUGUAAUUUUUUGUAUCACUUAAUAUAAUCCUUAAUAUAGUCUUACCAUGUCAUUGUUUUUUUUAUAUUAUUGAUGGAAUGGACAUUAUUGUUUAUUUUCGCUUUUUCCCUCAUUUUCAUUACUUAUUUUAUUA
Long non-coding RNA from Alosa sapidissima (American shad), 1945 nucleotides. RefSeq lists it as uncharacterized. The record is from RefSeq and is a predicted model, not a curated record. NCBI's taxonomy places the organism in Eukaryota, Metazoa, Chordata, Actinopteri, Clupeiformes, Clupeidae. The transcript has 3 exons.